This 122-nucleotide ribosomal RNA is filed under the name Nannospalax galili (Upper Galilee mountains blind mole rat). Lineage: Eukaryota; Metazoa; Chordata; Mammalia; Rodentia; Spalacidae. The record is from RNAcentral.
GCCCACAGUCCUACCACCCUAAACACUCCCGAUCUCAUAUGAUCUUAGAAGCUAAGUGGGAUGGGGCCUGGUUAGUACUUGAAUGGCAGAACCUGUUGUGAAGGAGCACCCUGUUGAAGGUG